GCACGCGGAGACGCAACAAUUGCUCGGUACCCGCGCGGUACGCGUCAUGUUACGAAAGGCAAAGGUAUAAGCCGUUACACGCGAUCCAGAAUCUGACGGUCAGCAGCGAGUGGCGAUCGCGGCGAAGCGAGGAGGCAAGGCGAAGCGAGGCGAGGCGAGGCGAGGCGAGUAGCGGAUGCGAAAGAGUGCAGCAGUGCGGAGAGCGGCAGCCUUAGAGUUUACCGAGAGAAACGAGCGGUCAGUGCGCGGCUGAAGGUGGACCGACGAGUCGAGCAUGCGUAGAGGAGAACGCGGAACCGAUCAGAUCCCUGUCCAGGAUAAACGAGCGCGAAAGCUCUGCGGGGAGGUGCGGAAAAUUGUUGCGAAUUGUCGUAUGGGGCCGUUGUCGCAGUUGCCGAUCUCCCACCCCCGAUUAUUCGAAAGCGAUAAACCGACCGGAAAUGCCCCGAUCGUUUCUUGAUCUCGAUCUCCACGUUCACCACCACCACCCCUGCAGCAGCGACGCUCGCCGGUCGUCGUCGACUUUCUACACCUCGCCUCGAUCGCCCGUCGGGUCAAUCUCGUCGUCAGUGUCUGUGAUCUUCUUGUGUGUAUUGUGAAAAAGAUCGGCCGAGGGACACCGGCGAGCUGGAGGCCAACGUUGGCGCUGGAGGCGGUUCCGCCCCCAGAGGGUCCAGUCCUCCCGUCACCAUCGGCAGCAUUAACGUAUUAAAAAACGUCCGGGAUUGACAACCGUCGAGCGGAAUCAUGGGUGGGCCGUCGAGACUGCGUACCAUCACUGAUGAUCGCUUCUCGUGCUUCGGCGUCGGCUGCGACGGUCGGCAGGAGUCACGUGUCAGGACGGCUGCAUGACGAGAGGAAAACGCGGGAAGAGAAGAAGACGAAGAAGCAGAAGAAGAAGAAGGAAGGAGGGAUGGAGAAAACCAACUCUGGAGCUUUCACCUCCUCCCUCGCCCUCCAGCUCCAGGUCACUUCGCCACUUGGCGGCUUCGCGUUAACCAAAGUCAGGCCGCCGAGCGUCCGAUCCGUCCACGAAGAAGGCUCAUCCCGGGAAUCGAUGAACAAGUUAAUGAUUGGGGCGCAGAAGCGAGAUACGAAGACGGACGCAGUCAAAAUUCGAGCAUCCACGCGCGUGAGGUUCACCGGUUGGAGAAAUACAAUCCCAUGAUCGAUCCGGAGGAAAGGAAAAUAGGGUAUUUCGCUUAUCAGGAAGGAAGAAGAAGAAGAGCAGGAGGAGGAGGAGGAGGAGGAGGAGGAUGGUAAAAAAGAGACGCUAACAAGGCGGAUGAGGCAUGUGGCAGGCAGAACUCACACGGGUCCAGCGGCACGCGCGUCCUGUUACAAAGUGCCGCCCCAAUCGAGAAGGACGAAGAAAACAAGGAUCAGGCGGUGUCGUUGAUGCUCGGAGCUCCGGGAGAUUAGGAGACCGGAGCUGCAACGCCGGCUCGGCUUGGCGCUCUCUCAGCACCGCUUCAGGAACCCGGCGUUCGGGGAACGCAUAAAUUAUAACCCCUGAUUAGACACGCGUAUACACGUGUAUACGUAUAGUGUGUGAUAUACGCAAGACGUUUUUCGUUUCCAGAGACCGAGUCCAAGGGUCGUUUUUGAGAUGGUGCAGCAGUCCUGCAUCGCCGCACCGACUCCGAUGGGCACGAAUGUAUGAUAAACAAUUUUAUGGCUAUGCAUCGUACGGUGCACAUUUAUAUAGAUAUUGUUAUUUAUGUAUAUGUUCAUGUACAGACUCUUCGGCGAGGAGCUUUGUUGUCUAUACUGCGGUACGUCUGCAGAAUCAGCUAAGACGAUGUUCGAUACAUACAUAAUAUGUAUAAUAUGUAUUCUUUUCGAAUAUAUAUGUAUAUGUAAAUGCUUAGAAUUUUAUUCGAAAAGGUUCGAAAGAAUCAGAGCUUAUAAUGUAUAAUUAAAAUAUCACUUUUAAUUUUGUCGACCAAAGUUCAGCUGCGAUAUAAAAUAAAGAGAAAACGAAACGGAAAGAGGUGAAAAUAAAUAACACGUCUAACAUUCCAAUCUAUGCACACAGGUAUAAUAAUAUUGCAUAUACUCUAUAGAAUAAUGAAUAUAUGCAAAUACGAAUAUAAAUUAAUAAAUAAAUAAAUAAAUGUAGUGUACGACCGAAUGGAAACAAUUCCUUUGAAAGGAAAUUUUGAAUUUGAGAGUAAUUAGAAGCGAGUUGAAACAAAUUGAAAAACAAAAAAAGAAAAAAAAACACCAGAGAGUAAAAAUAUAUCAAUCAAAUAUUAAAUGAAAAUUGAUAUUUCUGUAACUCUAUAAAUAUAACCCGCACGAAUUAUUAUUACACUUAUAACAGAUCCUUAAGCGACGAAUAUUGCAACAAUGAAAUUGUAUGAUAUGUAUGUAAUUUCGUAAAUAUAAAAUUAAAGCACUCUUAAUCUCCCA
This 2415-nucleotide unclassified non-coding RNA is filed under the name Neodiprion pinetum (white pine sawfly). Its description in RNAcentral is "transcription factor Sp9, transcript variant X2". Lineage: Eukaryota; Metazoa; Arthropoda; Insecta; Hymenoptera; Diprionidae. The record is from RNAcentral.